RNAcentral lists this ribosomal RNA (398 nucleotides) under uncultured bacterium. Its description in RNAcentral is "bacterial SSU rRNA". It matches the Rfam family "Bacterial small subunit ribosomal RNA", at positions 30 to 432 of the family's 1533-position model. The record is from RNAcentral.
AUUGAACGCUGGCGGAAUGCUUUACACAUGCAAGUCGAACGGCAGCACGGGGCAACCUGGUGGCGAGUGGCGAACGGGUGAGUAAUACAUCGGAACGUGCCCAAUCGUGGGGGAUAACGUAGCGAAAGUUACGCUAAUACCGCAUACGAUCUACGGAUGAAAGCGGGGGAUCGCAAGACCUCGCGCGAAUGGAGCGGCCGAUGUCAGAUUAGGUAGUUGGUGGGGUAAAGGCUCACCAAGCCGACGAUCUGUAGCUGGUCUGAGAGGACGACCAGCCACACUGGGACUGAGACACGGCCCAGACUCCUACGGGAGGCAGCAGUGGGGAAUUUUGGACAAUGGGCGCAAGCCUGAUCCAGCCAUUCCGCGUGCGGGAUGAAGGCCUCGGUUGGUUAACG